RNAcentral lists this ribosomal RNA (668 nucleotides) under Vibrio cholerae. RNAcentral describes it as "partial 23S ribosomal RNA". It matches the Rfam family "Bacterial large subunit ribosomal RNA", at positions 2263 to 2925 of the family's 2925-position model. Lineage: Bacteria; Pseudomonadati; Pseudomonadota; Gammaproteobacteria; Vibrionales; Vibrionaceae. RNAcentral also lists the same sequence under 3 other names. The record is from RNAcentral.
GGGUAGUUUGACUGGGGCGGUCUCCUCCCAAAGAGUAACGGAGGAGCACGAAGGUGGGCUAAUCACGGUUGGACAUCGUGAGGUUAGUGCAAUGGCAUAAGCCCGCUUAACUGCGAGAAUGACGGUUCGAGCAGGUGCGAAAGCAGGUCAUAGUGAUCCGGUGGUUCUGUAUGGAAGGGCCAUCGCUCAACGGAUAAAAGGUACUCCGGGGAUAACAGGCUGAUACCGCCCAAGAGUUCAUAUCGACGGCGGUGUUUGGCACCUCGAUGUCGGCUCAUCACAUCCUGGGGCUGAAGUCGGUCCCAAGGGUAUGGCUGUUCGCCAUUUAAAGUGGUACGCGAGCUGGGUUUAGAACGUCGUGAGACAGUUCGGUCCCUAUCUGCCGUGGGCGUUGGAAGAUUGAAGGGGGCUGCUCCUAGUACGAGAGGACCGGAGUGGACGAACCUCUGGUGUUCGGGUUGUGUCGCCAGACGCAUUGCCCGGUAGCUAAGUUCGGAAUUGAUAAGCGCUGAAAGCAUCUAAGCGCGAAGCGAGCCCUGAGAUGAGUCUUCCCUGACAGUUUAACUGUCCUAAAGGGUUGUUCGAGACUAGAACGUUGAUAGGCAGGGUGUGUAAGCGUUGUGAGGCGUUGAGCUAACCUGUACUAAUUGCCCGUGAGGCUUAACCAU